AUUGAACGCUGGCGGCAUGCCUUACACAUGCAAGUCGAACGGUAACGGGCCUUCGGGUGCCGACGAGUGGCGAACGGGUGAGUAAUACAUCGGAACGUGCCCGAUCGUGGGGGAUAGCGAGGCGAAAGCUUUGCUAAUACCGCAUACGAUCUACGGAUGAAAGCAGGGGACCGCAAGGCCUUGCGCGGACGGAGCGGCCGAUGGCAGAUUAGGUAGUUGGUGGGAUAAAAGCUUACCAAGCCGACGAUCUGUAGCUGGUCUGAGAGGAUGAUCAGCCACACUGGGACUGAGACACGGCCCAGACUCCUACGGGAGGCAGCAGUGGGGAAUUUUGGACAAAGGGCGCAAGCCUGAUCCAGCCAUGCCGCGUGCAGGAUGAAGGCCUUCGGGUUGUAAACUGCUUUUGUACGGAACGAAAAGCCUUCUUUUAAUACAGGAGGGUCAUGACGGUACCGUAAGAAUAAGCACCGGCUAACUACGUG
Molecule: ribosomal RNA, 482 nt
Filed under: uncultured bacterium
Lineage: Bacteria
Description: partial 16S ribosomal RNA
Rfam family: Bacterial small subunit ribosomal RNA
Source: RNAcentral